RNAcentral lists this ribosomal RNA (433 nucleotides) under uncultured bacterium. RNAcentral describes it as "partial 16S ribosomal RNA". It matches the Rfam family "Bacterial small subunit ribosomal RNA", at positions 29 to 507 of the family's 1533-position model. The record is from RNAcentral.
AACGAACGCUGGCGGCAUGCCUAACACAUGCAAGUCGAACGAGACCUUCGGGUCUAGUGGCGCACGGGUGCGUAACGCGUGGGAACCUGCCUUUAGGUUCGGAAUAACUCAGAGAAAUUUGAGCUAAUACCGGAUGAUGUCUUCGGACCAAAGAUUUAUCGCCUUUAGAUGGGCCCGCGUUGGAUUAGCUAGUUGGUGGGGUAAAGGCCUACCAAGGCGACGAUCCAUAGCUGGUCUGAGAGGAUGAUCAGCCACACUGGGACUGAGACACGGCCCAGACUCCUACGGGAGGCAGCAGUGGGGAAUAUUGGACAAUGGGCGAAAGCCUGAUCUAGCAAUGCCGCGUGAGUGAUGAAGGCCUUAGGGUUGUAAAGCUCCUUUACCCGAGAUGAUAAUGACAGUAUCGGGAGAAUAAGCUCCGGCUAACUCCGUG